RNA transcript from Empidonax traillii (willow flycatcher), 3509 nucleotides. It is a transcript of the gene named CREB/ATF bZIP transcription factor, with no coding region annotated. NCBI's taxonomy places the organism in Eukaryota, Metazoa, Chordata, Aves, Passeriformes, Tyrannidae. The transcript has 2 exons. The record is from RefSeq and is a predicted model, not a curated record.
GGCCGCGCGCCGGGAGCGCCGGGCCGCAGCCUCGCGCCGCUUCCUGCCCUCGGGCAUCGUCCCGUCCCGCCGGGCCCCCGCCAUGCGCCACAGCCUCACGCAGCUGCUGGCGGCCUCGGCCGGCGGGACCGGCCCCUCGGGCGCCGCGUGGCCGCUGUCCGGCGCGGGGCAGGCCCCGAGAGGGCGGGAUGUCGGCGGGGAGGGCGACCCGGGCCCCGCGCGGCCCAAGCCCCCGGGCGCCUCGGAGCCGCGGCGGCAGGAGAAAGAGGCCGAGGCGCCCAGCAGCCCGGUGGAGGUGUGGGAGCAAGAGGACUGGUUCCCGGGGCUGGAGCUGGGAGACCUGCUGGAGGCGGCCCGGCCGGACUGGGACCUGGAGGCGGAGCUGAGCGGCUGUUUCUGUGAGGAGCCGGAGCCGCUGCCCCCGCCGGGCCAGGGCCCCCGUCCGGCCGUGUCCGGGCGGCGGAGCGGCGGGGCCGGCAGCCGGCUGAAGGCGGCGGCGGCGGCGCGGCUGAACCGGCUGAAGAAGAAGCAGUACGUGCUGGGGCUGGAGAGCCGCCUGCAGGGCCUGGCUGCCGAGAACCGGCAGCUGCGGGACCGCAACCGCGGCCUGAGCCGCCGCCUGCGAGAGCUGGAGCGGGAGAGCAGCUACCUGCGGGCCGUGCUGGCGAACCAGAGCGCGCUGGGGCAGCUGCUGAGCCGCCUGGCCGGGACCCGCGCCGGCGGGCUGCAGCUCAGCACCAGCCUCUUCAGGGACACGGGCAGCCCCCGCCGCCAGCACCAGCACCUCCAGCCCGCCGGCGAGAGCAGCGACCACGACUAUGCCCUGCCCAGCUCCCGGCCCCGCGGCCUGGAGGAGGCGGCCGUGGGGACUGAGGCGGAGGAGGAGUGGGCGGCCCCCGGCGGGAUCUGCCUGCACGUGGACCGGGAUCAGGUGUCGGUGGAGUUCUGCUCCAUCUGCGCUCGGCGGGCAGCGGCCUCCUUCAAAAUGUAGGGUCAAGUACCUGCUGCAAGUACUCGUGGGGUUCUCACCCCUAAGGGCCUCGCGUCGCGGCGGAGGAAACAGGCGAUGUUUCUCUUUUAGGUGCUUGCCCUGCCAGGCUCCGUUGUGUAGGGGUUAAAGAACAGUCGUUUUCCACCUCGCAACCUGGUAAGGAUCAAUAUAUUCCCAUAAUGCGGUAUCAGACAGCUUGCUUUGCUUAUCCCAGUCUCUUGUAAGGACUGGUUCAGGAAAUAAUUUCUCUGGUCCUUGGCCUACUCUGCCGAAAUGUUUCUAGCUCUGGAUGGUAAUUAAUAAUGAAGGCUACAAUCACAUCACUCUCAUUAGCUGUUUUCCCCUUUUCCUUUUUGAAACCGAUACAUUCGCUACAUAGCCAACACACAGCUACAUUUUGAAUUAAAAGAAUGUUCAUGCCAUUUGAAAUAGAAAUUUUCUAUUAAACCGAGUAUCUGAUGAGCUGAAAAGGGAAAAUAUGCUAAUAAAGAGGAUGUGCUUUUAUAGCUUUAAUCACAGGGGACUAUCCCUAAAGUGUAAGUAAAUUGCUUUUUAAUUAAAUUAAAAAAAAAAAUUGUGACCUGUUAGUUUAAAAUACUGUCCAGUGUUAGGGAUGCACGGUACCUUUUAAAAGUCCUUCUCUAUCUUGCUCCAAUUCAUGAUGCAGGGUUAUGUCUGAUUAAGCAGAACCUGAACACUGGUUAAAUCUGUACAGUAGAAUCCUCAUGUAGAGGAGUCAAUCUUUUGCAUGGACCUCUAAUGAGAAUUGGGUUUGAAGAAUGCAGUGCAUCGAAGUAACUCGUUACUUUAGGUUCCCAUAAGUAAAUCUCGGUGCCCAUGCACACUGAAAUUCCUGUGUUACUUCAGAGUAGCUUUAAAGUCUAAAAAAUAUUGCGUGUAUAUGCAUGUGCUUAAUUUUACUGUAGAGUUCUUAAUUUAGCCUCCUACAGUAUCCAGAAAUCUAUAACCUGAUACAAUUAAGCACAGUUUGGACAUGAGCAAAUAUGUAUCUUGAGGCUAAUGAUUUGAAAAAUGCUCCACGAUUAACUGAGAUAGGAGGAAGAAUAGUUUGACGAACAAAUAGUGUGUGUUUUCUUGUACUAGUCAGUGUUUCUCCCUGUCACAAAAGAUGAGUGGGUUCUUUUUUCAGUUGUAUUAUAAUGUUUAGGUUGUUUAAAUGUAUGUCAGUUGGGGGAAGAAGGAUUAUGGAAAUGAUAAUAUGUAAAGUGAGGUUUCACAAAGAAUACUUUCCAAAUCAGUUUCAUUUAUCAACUUGUUAAGAAAAAAUCUAUUUAGUGUUUCUGAAAUACUGUUUCCUAAAGCCUUAAAUUUUGUGUUUAAGGCUAAGUAGGUGAAAGUGUUCUCUCCCAGUCAUUUGCUUCAUUGGUGCUAGACCCUAUCACGUGUUCAUCAGUAUAAAAGGAGUUUGAUUUUCUUUGUGAAACAUCACUCUGUGAUAAAGUAUAUGUGUAUUUAGCAUCCUUGUUUUUCUUUAUGCUAAAGUGGAUUCAGCUGUGUUGGGGCAGAAGAGACGGGACCAGCUGCUGGCCACAUUUCCUGCUUUAUUUUAAAAGGUAGUAUAAGAAAUGAGAAUAAAGAGGUAACAGGGCUUUUGCUGUCUUUGGUUAAAAAGAAAAAAGUUGAAUGCUGGGAUCAUUUACUGUCAUUCAAGAUUUUUUUUUUAAAGAUAAUAUCCUGUCAACCAGGUUUUGCUCUACUGUAUGCAGAGUUCCAUCUGUUCAGGGUAUAUUGCCAGCACAAAAGAGACUUAGCGGGAUAUGUGUUACCUUACACCUCUGUGGUGGAUCAGCAGGGCUGUUCAAAGUUUCAGUCUUAAAUUGGGUAACUGCUGUAACUGAUGGGUCAUACUCGUGCCACAGGAGUCAGAGUUAACCACCAGGACCUGCACUGACUGAUAUGCAAAAUGGAAAUAAUGUAGAUUCAGCCUAGGCUCAACCUGCCUAGCUCAGUCUUCACUGAACAUGCUUUAUUUUGCAGUUUAUUGACAAAAAGAAAAACAUAAAUGUAGUAUGGGAUGUUACAGUGGCAUUUUCACGGUUACUUCAGUGUAGAAGUGUUUUUUAAGUUAAAUAUGCAUUCUUUCUUGUCGCAUCACUGCUAAAUGGCAGGGUCAGGGACUCAGUUCUUCUGGUCUCUGUGUGAACCUGCACGUCGCUCUGUCGUGACACGACCUGUGAGCUGUGUCUGAGAGCAGCUGAUUUUCUGACAUGCAAAAUUAUGUAUUGUGGUACAAGAACAAGGUUAAGUCCCAAGAAAGUCAGUGGCUGCAGGCAUUUCUAGUGCCUACUGAAUCAUAUUUAAACCAAAUAGUGGGGAGGAAGCUAUUUGAAACUCUUGACUGUACUAUCUGUAUGGUGUAUUAUUAAUGUAGCUUUUUGAAGUGAAAGCCUUGAAAUGACACAAUACUUGAAAAUAUAUUGUAAAUGUUUCCUUGUAAUUAUGUGCCAUCCAGAUAAGAAUAUAAUAUCAUAAUAAAAUCAGACUUGUUGAUCUUUCA